RNAcentral lists this transfer RNA (84 nucleotides) under Candidatus Xenolissoclinum pacificiensis L6. It matches the Rfam family "tRNA". From Rfam's summary of the family: Transfer RNA (tRNA) molecules are approximately 80 nucleotides in length. Their secondary structure includes four short double-helical elements and three loops (D, anti-codon, and T loops). The record is from Rfam by way of RNAcentral. Lineage: Bacteria; Pseudomonadati; Pseudomonadota; Alphaproteobacteria; Rickettsiales; Anaplasmataceae.
GCCCUUAUGGCGGAAUUGGUAGACGCGAUAGACUCAAAAUCUAUUGUUUGCAAGAACGUACUGGUUCGAGUCCGGUUAAGGGUA